Molecule: ribosomal RNA, 404 nt
Filed under: Actinomycetes bacterium
Lineage: Bacteria; Bacillati; Actinomycetota; Actinomycetes
Description: Actinobacteria bacterium partial 16S ribosomal RNA
Rfam family: Bacterial small subunit ribosomal RNA
Source: RNAcentral
UGGGGUAUAUUGGACAAUGGGCGCAAGCCUGAUCCAGCCAUGCCGCGUGAGUGAUGAAGGCCCUAGGGUUGUAAAGCUCUUUCACCGGUGAAGAUAAUGACGGUAACCGGAGAAGAAGCCCCGGCUAACUUCGUGCCAGCAGCCGCGGUAAUACGAAGGGGGCUAGCGUUGUUCGGAUUUACUGGGCGUAAAGCGCACGUAGGCGGACUUUUAAGUCAGGGGUGAAAUCCCGGGGCUCAACCCCGGAACUGCCUUUGAUACUGGAAGUCGUGACUAUGGUAGAGGUGAGUGGAAUUCCGAGUGUAGAGGUGAAAUUCGUAGAUAUUCGGAGGAACACCAGUGGCGAAGGCGGCUCACUGAACCAUUACUGACUCUGAGGUGCGAAAGCGUGGGGAGCAAACAGG